CCCCUAGAUGUUCUGGGCCGCACGCGCGCUACACUGAACAGUUCACCAAGUCUUAACCUUGGCCGAUAGGUCUGGGUAAUCUUUGAACGCUGUUCGUGAUUGGGAUAGACCUUUGCAAUUAUGGGUCUUCAACGAGGAAUUCCUAGUAAACGCAAGUCAUCAGCUUGCAUUGAUUACGUCCCUGCCCUUUGUACACACCGCCCGUCGCACCUACCGAUUGAAUGGUCCGGUGAAAUCUCGGGACGGCGGCUUGGUCGCUUGCGUCCGACUGCUGAAACUUGAUUAAACCAUAUCAUUUAGAGGAAGGUGAAGUCGUANCA
RNAcentral lists this ribosomal RNA (320 nucleotides) under uncultured eukaryote. RNAcentral's name for it is "partial 18S ribosomal RNA". It matches the Rfam family "Eukaryotic small subunit ribosomal RNA", at positions 1470 to 1796 of the family's 1831-position model. The record is from RNAcentral.